GUCCACGCCGUAAACGAUGAGUGCUAGACGUUGGGAAGCCUAGCUUCUCGGUGUCGCAGCUAACGCAUUAAGCACUCCGCCUGGGGAGUACGGCCGCAAGGUUGAAACUCAAAGGAAUUGACGGGGGCCCCGCACAAGCGGUGGAGCAUGUGGUUCAAUUCGAAGCAACGCGAAGAACCUUACCAAUCCUUGACAUGCCCUGACGGCCCGGAGAGAUCCGUGCCUCCCCGCAAGGGGCAGGGACACAGGUGCUGCAUGGCUGUCGU
This 266-nucleotide ribosomal RNA is filed under the name uncultured bacterium. RNAcentral's name for it is "partial 16S ribosomal RNA". It matches the Rfam family "Bacterial small subunit ribosomal RNA", at positions 793 to 1055 of the family's 1533-position model. The record is from RNAcentral.